This 301-nucleotide ribosomal RNA is filed under the name uncultured bacterium. Its description in RNAcentral is "partial 16S ribosomal RNA". It matches the Rfam family "Bacterial small subunit ribosomal RNA", at positions 509 to 809 of the family's 1533-position model. The record is from RNAcentral.
CAGUCGCCACGGGAAUACGUAGGUGGCAAGCGUUGUCCGGAAUUAUUGGGCGUAAAGGGCUCGCAGGCGGUUUCUUAAGUCUGAUGUGAAAGCCCCCGGCUCAACCGGGGAGGGUCAUUGGAAACUGGGAAACUUGAGUGCAGAAGAGGAGAGUGGAAUUCCACGUGUAGCGGUGAAAUGCGUAGAGAUGUGGAGGAACACCAGUGGCUAAGGCGACUCUCUGGUCUGUAACUGACGCUGAGGAGCGAAAGCGUGGGGAGCGAACAGGAUUAGAUACCCGGGUAGUCCCUGUCUCUUAUAA